This 302-nucleotide signal recognition particle RNA is filed under the name Cebus imitator (Panamanian white-faced capuchin). RNAcentral describes it as "Metazoan signal recognition particle RNA (ENSCCAG00000005222.1)". It matches the Rfam family "Metazoan signal recognition particle RNA". From Rfam's summary of the family: The signal recognition particle (SRP) is a universally conserved ribonucleoprotein. It is involved in the co-translational targeting of proteins to membranes. The record is from RNAcentral. Lineage: Eukaryota; Metazoa; Chordata; Mammalia; Primates; Cebidae.
GAUGGGCGCGGUGGUGCACGCCUGUAGUCCCCUACUUGGGAGGCAGAGGUGGGAGGAUUACUUGAGCCCAGGAGUUCUGGGCUGUAGUGUACUACGCUGAUCAGGGGUCCGCACUAAGUCUGGCAUCAAUAUGGUGACCUCUUGGAAGUGGGUGACCACCAGGUUGCCUAAAGAGGGGUGAACCGACCCAAGUACGAAACGGAAUGGAGCAGGUCAAAACUCCUGUGACGAUCAGUAGUGGGAAUGCGCCUGUGAAUAGCCACUGCACUCCAGCCUUGAUAAUAUAGUGAGACCNNNNNNNN